AAAACGGCCCUUUUCAGGGCCACCAAAGAGUUUGCAAAAGAGUUGU
Culex pipiens (northern house mosquito) is the source of this 46-nucleotide regulatory RNA element. It matches the Rfam family "Histone 3' UTR stem-loop". From Rfam's summary of the family: The mRNAs of metazoan histone genes lack a poly-A tail. 3' end processing occurs at a site between a highly conserved stem-loop (modelled by this family) and a purine rich region around 20 nts downstream (the histone downstream element, or HDE). The record is from Rfam. NCBI's taxonomy places the organism in Eukaryota, Metazoa, Arthropoda, Insecta, Diptera, Culicidae.